GCAAGCUCUUGAUUGAAGUCCCAGUAAACGGCGGCCGUAACUAUAACGGUCCUAAGGUAGCGAAAUUCCUUGUCGGGUAAGUUCCGACCUGCACGAAUGGCGUAACGAUGGCCACACUGUCUCCUCCUGAGACUCAGCGAAGUUGAAAUGUUUGUGAUGAUGCAAUCUCCCCGCGGAAAGACGGAAAGACCCCAUGAACCUUUACUGUAGCUUUGUAUUGGACUUUGAACAGAUCUGUGUAGGAUAGGUGGGAGGCUUUGAAGUGCGGUCGCUAGAUCGCAUGGAGCCGACGUUGAAAUACCACCCUGGUGUGUUUGAGGUUCUAACCUAGGUCCCUUAUCGGGAUCGGGGACAGUGCAUGGUAGGCAGUUUGACUGGGGCGGUCUCCUCCCAAAGCGUAACGGAGGAGUUCGAAGGUACGCUAGGUACGGUCGGACAUCGUGCUAAUAGUGCAAUGGCAUAAGCGUGCUUAACUGCGAGACUGACAAGUCGAGCAGAUGCGAAAGCAGGACAUAGUGAUCCGGUGGUUCUGUAUGGAAGGGCCAUCGCUCAACGGAUAAAAGGUACUCUGGGGAUAACAGGCUGAUACCGCCCAAGAGUUCAUAUCGACGGCGGUGUUUGGCACCUCGAUGUCGGCUCAUCUCAUCCUGGGGCUGUAGCCGGUCCCAAGGGUAUGGCUGUUCGCCAUUUAAAGAGGUACGUGAGCUGGGUUUAAAACGUCGUGAGACAGUUUGGUCCCUAUCUUCCGUGGGCGCUGCAGAUUUGAGGAAGCCUGCUCCUAGUACGAGAGGACCGGAGUGGACACACCUCUGGUGUAUCGGUUGUCACGCCAGUGGCAUUGCCGAGUAGCUAAGUGUGGAAGAGAUAACCGCUGAAAGCAUCUAAGCGGGAAACUCGUUUCAAGAUGAGAUCUGCCGGGGCCUCGAGCCCCCUAAAGAGUCGUUCAAGACCAGGACGUUGAUAGGUCAGGUGUGGAAGCGCAGUAAUGCGUUAAGCUAACUGAUACUAAUUGCUCGUGCGGCUUGACCCU
This 1030-nucleotide ribosomal RNA is filed under the name freshwater metagenome. RNAcentral describes it as "bacterial LSU rRNA". It matches the Rfam family "Bacterial large subunit ribosomal RNA", at positions 1900 to 2925 of the family's 2925-position model. The record is from RNAcentral.